CUACGUGCCAGCAGCCGCGGUAAUACGGAAGGUCCAGGCGUUAUCCGGAUUUAUUGGGUUUAAAGGGAGCGUAGGCUGGAGAUUAAGUGUGUUGUGAAAUGUAGACGCUCAACGUCUGAAUUGCAGCGCAUACUGGUUUCCUUGAGUACGCACAACGUUGGCGGAAUUCGUCGUGUAGCGGUGAAAUGCUUAGAUAUGACGAAGAACUCCGAUUGCGAAGGCAGCUGACGGGAGCGCAACUGACGCUUAAGCUCGAAGGUGCGGGUAUCAAACAGGAUUAGAUACCCUGGUAGUCCGCACAGUAAACGAUGGAUGCCCGCUGUUGGUACCUAGUAUCAGCGGCUAAGCGAAAGCAUUAAGCAUCCCACCUGGGGAGUACGCCGGCAACGGUGAAACUCAAAGGAAUUGACGGGGGCCCGCACAAGCGGAGGAACAUGUGGUUUAAUUCGAUGAUACGCGAGGAACCUUACCCGGGCUUGAA
This 481-nucleotide ribosomal RNA is filed under the name uncultured bacterium. RNAcentral describes it as "bacterial SSU rRNA". It matches the Rfam family "Bacterial small subunit ribosomal RNA", at positions 501 to 985 of the family's 1533-position model. The record is from RNAcentral.